CGAUAUUGUUGACGAAUGACACAGUAGGAGUAUUUCCCCCCCCCCCCAAAGGCUGUGGCUUAUCAAUUUAUAUCUCCGCCCCAUGUAGAACCCAUAUAAGUGGUUGUCAAGAAUUUUCACCUGUGAAGAAACGCAUUUUUUCCAGAAAGAUCAUAGAUUACAGCUUUUUGCUUCAAUUCACACAUUUUAAGGGAGUGCUUUGAAAGCAAUGUCCAAAAAAAUGGUUUUAGUUUUGAUAUUGGCCUGGGUGUUUAUGACUGCCUAUGGCCAAGAAAACCUGUUCAGCGAUGACGAACCAUUUGGCGACAACGAACUGUCCGGUAGUGGCGAUGAAGGGACUAUAGCCCCCACCUCAUCCAUACUUUCAAGUGCAGCAAGCCACAAGACGAGCCUCAUCACCGCAUCUGGCAUGGUGCUGUUGUCAUGGUUACUGCUGGGCCAGCAGUAGCAUCUUGGGCCAGUUUGCCAAAAAAUCUCAGGGGGUCUAAAAUUGGUCGCUGUGAAUCGCCGAUCAUUAAGUUACAUGUAAAUGGAAGUGUAUGUAAAUUAAAGCUUUUGCAGACUGUAUAAG
Syngnathus acus (greater pipefish) is the source of this 571-nucleotide long non-coding RNA. RefSeq lists it as uncharacterized. Lineage: Eukaryota; Metazoa; Chordata; Actinopteri; Syngnathiformes; Syngnathidae. The transcript has 3 exons. The record is from RefSeq and is a predicted model, not a curated record.